Molecule: long non-coding RNA, 4737 nt
Organism: Rhagoletis pomonella (apple maggot)
Lineage: Eukaryota; Metazoa; Arthropoda; Insecta; Diptera; Tephritidae
Exons: 2
Source: RefSeq, a predicted model, not a curated record
CGGCUAGUAUACUUAUAUGUUUGUAUGUUUUUUUACAAUUGUACUUACUACAAAACCCUCAGCAACAACAAUAUUUUUCGCUAAACCCAACAUUAGUCAAUGACGUCAUAGCACAAAGUCAACAUCGUAACAAAUUUUAAGUAAAGUGUAUGUAUGUAUGUAUGUGUUUGUAUGCGUGACGUAUCUAACAGUAAAAGCAAAAUAAACAGCACAUUUAGAAAACAUGACACAGAGUAAAGAAAUUUUAGAUAAAACCGAAGUACUGACGAACCACCCAGCAGUUAACAACCAAGAGGAUGUGAAUGAAGCAGUAAGUUUAAGACAACAUAUUUACAUACACAUAUGCAUUGGUAUAUUAGACCGUAUCACUAUAUAUGUGCGAUUUUGAGUGUAUAUCAGCAAUGUUUUUAUAACCCGUAAAAACUAAUAAAUCGGUUAUUUUCUAUAAUUUUCCUUUUUGAAGUCCUAAACUUUGCAUGUUGCACAUACAUAUGCAUGUGCUCUUUGACACCCACUCAACUAGCACAUCUCCUUUUGUCCGAUACCAUCGAAACACCCCAUAACCUGCCAUUUUCUGAGUUUGACGACAACGGUUGAAGGAUUUAUAUAAUCUGGUUUAGGCCAGGUAUCCGCAACAAUAACUUCAUAAGCAGAAAUCUUCUUCGGGGAGGAAAUUCUCAAUAACGAAAACAUAUGUAUGUAUGUAUCCGACAGCACAACAUCCAUCAAUAGUUUUCGUGGAACCACAGCCAUUUUCGGGUCUUGGCUAGCCCGUCUCCAAGUUUUUAAUUGAGUGCAGUUUUUACAGUGCAGAUCCGUUCGUACAGCAAAAAGUCAACGCACUUAAUCGACAACAAAACGUCUCUAGGUAAGAAAUAGGGUACUAAAGCGCACUGGAUUUAUACAGCAGUCAUAUGUCCUAUUUUAUUCAACGACAUCACAGUCCAUCCACGCCCACUAAAGCGUUGGAAACACUUCUAAAAUUUCUGCCUGUUUAAUUUUCGGUAAGUUUCAAGCUAUUCAGUUAGACUAAAUGCACUGUCAAAAUGAAGAGUCACUAGAUUCCGUCACACCAACAUUCUAACGAACUACCCCGAUACUAUUAAGUCCCAUAUUACAAAACGCCUCUAUCCCUUCGAGGAAGGACUGACAGGAUGAUGCGGCUACACUCAAAGGACCUCUUGUUAAACCGCUGUUUUAGGCUACCAAUUCAUUGCAGAGCUCGCUGGCCUAAAAGAGGCUGCAUUUUGGCUUAUAAAAUCUUCUCUUAAUCUGCCUUCACCAACGAAGUACUCACUCAGCCAAGCAGCUAUAAAAUGUUAAAUGUCUGACGUCAAAACUUUUCACGAUGCGGGAAAAACAUGGCUUAAAAUACAAAAAAAAGGCAAAUAAAAGACGGUCGUUGGAAGCCACGUGUGGGACCACUCGACAAAUCUGGCCCAGCUUCGACAAGAAAAUAUCCAACACACUCAUUCGACUAGAAUGACCUCUACUAAGGCAAGUUUCCGGUAUCUUAACUUAACCCUACUUAAUUGGCAGGCACGCUAGCAGAAUGGGCUUACCGGUCAAUGAUUUCCGCCAGAGCUGCCGCGACGAAGAAGAAAUUUAGAGUAUUGAAUACUGCCUCUGCUACUGCAAUGUCUUUUCGUGGGCUAUAAGACGCCCAUUCCACCACCACCUCUUUGUAUGUCUGGCGGAGCUAAACGAAGCAGGCAUUCAUGAUUUCUUAUGCUUUAUUAACCUAAUCAACUGGCUACACUUCUAGGUGAACGGAUGGGAUCGAAUACGAACUCUCAAUUGGUAUCACGACGUUACCACUGAACCUAAGUGUGCCUAUCUGCAACAUUAAAGAUGUGCUGAGACGAUACUUUUUAGUAUUGAUCGAUACUCGAUACCGAUUCAAAGAGUAUCCAAAACUCUCGAUUCUCAGUACCGAAAUAUUGGAAUUUCUUAUUAAUAGACCGAUAUCGCCAAAAAAAUAUGGAAUAACAGCUGUUUAGGAGAGCACCGGCUAUGAAAAGCCACAUGUAGGUACUUAUAGGGAUCCGUUUGCGGUUUUUUCGCUGGCUGGGUUAAGAUGGAGCUUAAAGUAUCGAAUCGGUAUCUGGUACCGAAAGGGAAGAUGUUGGGUGCCGCAAUUUUUUUCAAGUAUUUGGUUACCGAUCUCAGACGUUGGCCAGUUUAGGAUCUUCUUUCGUAUACGAUUUUGGUUGACCUUUAAGAGAUUUUUCUUUCACAGAAAAUAGGUCGGGCUAUAAUCUCUGAAGCCAUAUCGUUAAGGUUGGGAAAGGUUCUGUUAUAGUGGUUUCAGUCGCCAAACUGACACGAGGCCCAUCUCUUCAAGAAUAGUUCGAUUUACUCUUUUCACGGGCAUAUGGACUCAAGCGUGUCUCUCCUAGCCAACUCAUGCACAGCACUAUUUCUUGCAAUAUAUGUAACUAUGGAGUGGUCUACUAACAAGGAUGUAACCAGACGCAGCUGAAAGAAAAAGAUAGAAAGAAGCACACCUUGACAGAGACCCAGAACCUGAUAGCUGCUGGGCUAACCGAAUAUAUGUCCAAUCGGAAAACAUUACGGUGAUCUGCAAGAACAAUUUCGGGCAAACGAAUACAUAUUUGGGUUGUCUGUUUGUCUAAAUCUUAGUAAAACUUUUUUUAAUUAUCGACAACUACGUCACCCAAAUAAUAUAAUUUUUUUUUGUUUUUUUCAGCCAUAAUAAUGGUUCAGGUGAGUUGAUAACGAAUUCUAUGUCUGACAGAUAUAAUUCUAAGUACUUAUGAACUCAUAUGUAUGUAUGUACAUAGGCAAUCGAAUCCGAAUAAAAACCACACCAUACGAAAAGUCGCAUAGACGAUGACAAAAAAUAGCAAAAUUAGACGAUAAAUACGACUAUGAAAUGUAGACAAAAACAUAAAUAGGCACAAGCGGAAAUUAUGAAAAGGUGAGUGCUGUAAAAAAACAACAACAACGUUGGGAAUUGAAGAGUGCAGAAGUGGACAAGAAAAAUUGGAAGCGAAAGGUAAAUAAAAACAAUUUAGAAAAAGUUCUGAGGUGUGAACCAUAGAGAGAGAGAAAGAGAGAGAGAGGGACGAGCGACAGUGUGUGGGAACAAGAAUGAGAAAUAGUGUUAAAAGAGCAGGAAACAAAAAGUGAACGGAAGUAAUGGCGUAAUAAAAUGUGGCAAAAGCGCCAACAACCACACUCAAUAGAUGAGGAAGUGCGAACUACAAACAUUUGGUGGAGACAGUCACACAAAAAUAAAAUAGAAAACACGAAAUACAGCGAAUCCCAUAAAAGUGUCAUAAAAACAAGUUGCGCUCACGAAAGAGAGCUUGUUGCAGCUACAUACAUAUGUAAGUACUUGGGCAGUGUGUGUGAGUAAUGAGUUUCGAAAACUUGAAUGUGAACGCAAGUAAAAAACCUAAAUCCCAUAAAAUAAAAAGAAAAUAAAAUCGAGAUUAUCAACGAAGCAAGUGAACGACGGCAAUGGCGAUAGCGAUGAGGAUGAGGAUGACGAGAACGACAACGACAACGACGACAAACAACCACCGACAACCACCAGCGCACCGUGUCAACAACACCAACGGAAAGAGCAACAAACACCAACCAAACAGCAGUAAUAGGAACAGCAACAGAGCAACGAAGCAUCAGAGUGCACCAGAGCACCAAAGCUUGGAGCAACUGCGUACAGCGAACAGACCAGCUAGUUCGGUUUUAGUGACUUGACCGCUUCAUCGAGGUGGUUGCUUUGCUCAGUAGCUGUAUGCCCGUCAGGCGCGUCGGUUGUAAAACUUUUAGCAAACGUCCGCCAUUGUGGACGCCAUUUUCGAUGAACGUGAAGACGUGAAUACAUGUCUAGAUACGGCUGCAACGAAGCAAACGCUAAUAAACAUUAACAAAAAAAAACGUUAAAAGUGUGUGAUAAGAUUAAAUGAAGACAGAGCAAGCAAAUACGAAAAUAAAUAAACAAUAAAAAAAAAUUUUAAAUUUUGUGGCGGCUAGUGUGUCUCGUCUACGUCUACAAACGUCUGGUGCGCGUACACUUGGGCUAUUUUCGUUUGCUUAAAACACUUGCAACGUUUAGCGAGUAGUUUGCGCGAUUAUUUCACACACAAAAAAACAAGAAACAGAAAACAAAAUUUUUGGCUGAAGAUUUCUUUUUGCGCUGGGUUUUCGGUCCGACACAACGACGCAAGCAACAACGUCUGUGCUGAAGAAUUAUUUACUCAGCAACAAUAAAAUUAUACUAAUAGUGAAACUGUCUGCGUUCCUGUUAAUCAAUCAUUCCUAAGCUCAAACAAAGCAAGUAAAAAUAAAAAGUAGCACACACAUACUUGCAUACCUAAUUAUCUACAAAUGUACAUAGACAAUAUAACAAUACAAAAUAAAAAAGCAACAAGUUUCCAAAAAAAAAAAAACAAAACAAAAGCCAAAACAAGAACACUGCUAUAAAUAAAAGAGCAAACUAAAAGAAUUUCGUAGCACACCAAUUUGAAAAGGCAUAAAACUAUAACUAAUAAGCAUAAACAAUAAUUCUUUAACAUAAAAAUAUUCAACCAAUAGAAUAUUUAUAGCUCGCCCAACAUACAAGCUACAUAGUAGCCAAGCAAAAAAAAAGGCGAGCAAUUGGCGACAAAACAACUACAUACAUAUAUACAACAAAAACAAUCGCUCAACAGCACUGUAACCAGCAAGAUAAAUAAAAAGUAAGUCGCAAAAUAUGUAUAAAAAAAAAAA